This is a long non-coding RNA of Anas platyrhynchos (mallard), 7540 nucleotides long. RefSeq lists it as uncharacterized. The record is from RefSeq and is a predicted model, not a curated record. Lineage: Eukaryota; Metazoa; Chordata; Aves; Anseriformes; Anatidae.
AAAGAAAGAAAAAAAAAAAAAAAAAAAACAACAACAAAAAGAAGCAUUAUGGGAGAUUUGGGGAAGAAAAUGGCUCUCGGCUGUGGUGCCACCGGAAGGCCCUGUCCCUGCCUGCCCUCCGCUCCUCCAGCUGAUGGCAAAGCCUGGAAGAAAAUAUAUUUUUUUAAUGGGCUAUUUGCUUUCCUUCACCAUUCCCCAUAAACACGGCUUUUUGUCUCAUAGCGAAGAUGCACUCUUGCUUUUAUAAGCCGUCUUAAGCACCACUUCUUACAUCAAUGGCUUUAAAUGAAAAAAGAAAGCGCUUUUGAAUACAAAUGUGGCAUUUACUUCCUUAAUGCCUCUCUUGCGCUAAGCUACCUUCAAACCCAUCAGAGACACUUUAAUAUAUUGAACAGAACUCCCCUCAUUUUGAUGCUAAUGCAGCAUUUCAUGCAGAUAAUGUGCUUGAAUCAUGCACUGAAAUACAUUAAAGGUGAAAUCCAGAGCCUGGAAAACCCUCUGGUGUCUCAGUGCUCCCCUCCUUCCCCCGACCUGCAUCCACUUUUGGGGUCUGGCCAAGCCUCUUGGUAGGUCCAAGGCCAAGCUUGUCCUACAUGACUUGGUUGGUGCCUUCUAAUCAAUCAAAAACCCCAAAUCACCUGUUGUUUUUCAUGCUGUUGCUCUGCAAUGGGCUGUUCACUGGUGGGACUCCUUGCUGGGAGGUCCUAAUGCAGCAUCGUGUGGAUGCAGCCUUCAUCGUCGCUGUGCCAGGACACACUGAAAGCCAGAAAUGACUUUUUUCAACCCGAGGAGAGCAUUUCUAUGCUCUUGUUGUGCUACUUAUAACCCUAAACACCUCUCGUCCUCCUUCGGACGCAGGUAUCGAUGACCCCACCUGGAUGCGUUAUCACGUUCCUCUUCUCCUAAUGCGUGAUAGCAGGGACCAGGUGGUAGGAGAGGGGCUGCCUCUUCCAUUUGUUGUUCACUGUGAGUCAAAACUAAUAAUUAAGCUCUGAAUCUGGGUCAUUAGGAAUCGAAUCCCCUUGCAAUAAAAGCAUAAAGCUUCCAUUUUGGGUCAGUGGGUGUCGGAGGACUUGACAAGAGGCACCUUGUUAGAAAGGGAUUAAUUUAUUCAUGGAAACCUUGCUUUGUUUUGAAGAAAUCAAAGCCAGCCACGUCAAAGUUUGGCAAUUCUUUCAACUGUGCUUUUCUGUGACUGCAGUGGUGUGGCUGGGGGUUGGAAAAAAAAAAAAAAAGAAAAAAAAAGAAAGAUUUCUGCUAAAACUGCUGUUAUCUGUGUCUGCAGCUCCUUGGAGCAACCCCCUUGUCCUGGGUAGGAUGCACCAAACUCAGCUCACUUGUACCAUCAUUGGGGUGAGGGCGUUGGGCUCACCCCUGAAGUCUUCAGGGUCAUUUUUUCUCCUUUGUAAUUAAUGCUGCCACCUCUCUGGUGUGAGCUGUGCUGUGGUCUUCUGCUAGCACGGUGUGUGAGUUAAGCUGUCUGGGUAUGUUCCUGAAGAACUAAAGAUAUUACUAUUAUUUUUUCUCCCUCUCUCAUUACUCACUUACAAGAAUCUCACAGAAUGGAAGUAAUGGAUAACAAACAAAAGCUCAGACCUCAUUAAUGUCACCGUGCCCUUCCUGGGUGGCUACGUGUGGCUUUUCCUGGUAAGGCUCAGCGCAGCGGCGCGUGGGGCAGCACCGAGCAUGGGAAGGGAAAAGCUGCAGAUGGGAAACGUGUCUCACCUGUAAAACAGUUAAACCUAAUUUCCUCUCCCUCUCCAGCCUCAGAAAAACCCAAACCACAAGAAAAUUGGGCUGUAACGCUCUUGGCUCGAUGCACCUCUGGUUUGUUUGGAGCAGGAGUGAUGUUUUUCUGAGCCAGGCGCUUUAUUCUCCUUGCUCUGCCACCUUGCAACGAUGUCCCCACAUCAAAUAUUUUACAUAAAGCCCCGAAAAUAUUUCCAAAAAAUAUUCUCCCUUGGCAAGUGUCUCUGGUGGGAGCAGCCUAGGAGGGCAGGGGAGCCCCAGAUCUGGACCCAGCCUGCUCAGCUAUCACGGCAUGGUCCCACAGCUGGAAAGCUGCUUGCUGAACGCACGUGGGCAGGUGGAGGAGGCUUGCUCUGCUCUGGCUAAUUGGGUUCAUUUCUCUUAAUUAACGCUCCUCACUAAUGAGCAGCCAUCCCUUCAGCAAAGCCCAAGGAGGGGCUGAUAAACAGGCAAGGAGGGCUGCUAACUGGAUUACGUGCCCUGUGGAGCACGUUGGCUUCUUCCCGUUGGAAAGGAGAGGAAAACGUUGAUGCAGAGAGCUUUAUCCCUGCUUUUUUUUUUCCAUUUCCAGGGAGAGGAGUAGUCCCCAUCCCAUUACCCCAUGGGUACUAUCAUAUGCCUAUCAUGUUGUCCUUCAGGUGAUGCCCUGUGUGCGGAUGUGCCUGGGUUACCACUGAGAUCUCCCAAUUUUGCUCUCCACCACCCCAAUUUGGAGCAUCCUUUGAGGGUUUUCCAACCAUGGGACGAUGUCAGCGGGGAUCACUGAGCCUUUUGGCACCAGGACAGCUGCCUCAGGACCAGGACACCUUCCCCUGGUACAUCACAGGCGCCCUCCAUCUCUGGGAUGUGUCGAGCCCAUCUGCCCCACGCAGAUCCUGCGCUCAUCACAGCCUCUCCUCACCCCCAUCCGCUCCACCAGCUGAGCUUAUUUCCCCAAUUAAACACAACCAGCCCGUGAUGGAAAGGAGGAGGGAGGCAGCGAGGAGGGAUUUUUAUUGGGAAGUCAUUUCUUCCUUAAUUGAAUCACUCCCGUUAAGAGUGGCAAGGAGAAGAGAAACAAAAAGGCGAACAGGAGUGCAAGCAUGGACCUAAACAGAGGAUGCAAAGCCCAAAAUAGCACGCUCCACACCGGGGCAAAGAAACACACGUUGUCCUGAGGCAAAGAAGAUCUCUCUGCUUCUACUUAACCCAUUUUUUUUUUCUUCAUAAUUUUUCUGAAGCUUCCCGUGAAAGUUUCUGGCUUGGAUCAGCCCAUCUAUCUAUCUAUUUUUUUUCCUGGUGUUUUUGUUUUGCUUCCUGGGUGAAAUAUCCCUUGUUACUUGCUCCAUGAGUGUGGCUAGACCCAGACCUUCACUGGUGCCUUCUCUUCUUCUCGUAGAGCCCAGCCGAAGAAUUUCAGUACCACGGGGCUGAUUUGGUCAGGUGUCUGCAUCCCACCAUCUGCUUGUCCCCUUAAAUGGGCUAUUUAAGAGGGGAAGAAAACAAAACAAAACAAAACAAAACAAAACAAACAAAAAACAUUUAUUGGGUUGCCUUUGGCCUUCAGGCACCAAAUCUAAUCUGCUUCUGAUGGAUAUAAUCAGAUAAGGAAUGCCGUGUGUAGGAGCACUCCUUUGGUGCCUUCCUGUCCCCAUCUCCUGCUCCCAACAGCCUGAGCUCGCAUAUCCAGCCCAGGGUUAUGAAAAAGGAAAUAAAUGGGGGAAAAAAAAAUAAAAGCAGAAGAGGAAAAAACAAACAAACAAAAAACUGUUGAGAGCUGGAGGUGCAGGGGAUGAUGGGGAGGUGAAGGAGGAGAUGGGAUUUAGUCCUUGCUCUGCCCUGCAGGUUUGGAGCAUCGCUGGUAUCAUUUCCAGACCUUCCCACCAGCCCAUCCCCAUUCUGGGAUGGGAAACAUCCCCAGCUCCUGUGAAUGUCCCCGCAACCGUGCCCUUCUCUUGUGCCCAAGGUGUCCCCAUUUCAAAUGGAAACAAAAAACGGAGUUUCUCUUGUUUUUCCAUCUUCUGUAAAUUUUUGAUUUUGGGAUCUUGUAGGGUUUUGGGUCAGUGAGGCAAUCCUGUUGGAACAAAAUGUUGCACCUCGUUUGGGAACAACCUUGUUAAAACACAAUGUCUGGGGGGCAAGGGGAUGUGACAUCUGUGUCCCCAAGGAAGAGCCAGCCUGCAAGGUCAUCGCUUUGUAUCUCUGCACACUGAAGACAAGCUCUGUCCGAUCCUCAACGUUGCCUGACCCCACAACCCCAAAACGCUUGGGCAAAUGCCUUUUAAUUGCUGAAUGCUCACUUCUCUGCUAAUUAACAUCCUCACAGGCAUUUAGGAAAUGAUGCUCUUUGUUCAUAAUUACCAGUAAAAGGUGAAUCCCAGCUCCUGGAAGCAAAGUAAUUUUCACCUAGGGGGAAAACCUAUUCCCUUUCCUUUUUUAACGUUGGUGGGCAGAAAGCAGGGUGCUUUAUGGAGGCAGCUCAUGCAGCAGGUGGGGAAACUGAGGCACGAGGCCACGAGAUUCAGAGCAGAAAUAGAAGCCCUGCUUCCACCCUGACGAUCAAUAUUCCUCACGAAAACCUUGGUGGCAGAGCUGGUGAGCUUUUUCCCUCUGCCAAAUCGGUGCCAUCACCUGCCAUCAGCACAGUGCCAUCAGCUCCUGGUGCGGGCUGACCGCAUCCCACGAGGGACGGGAGAUAGGAGAGGGCCUAACUCACCGGUGCUCUCCCAACUGAUCUUCAAAAGCACUUUGAAGUUGGGGAAAUCAGUGGGGUUUUUAUGUUAUGUUUUUCUCUUCUUUUCCUUUUUUUUUUUCCUAGGGUACUAAACUUCCGAACUUUGGUUUUUAAUGAGGAAGGAGCUCCGCGGCUCGCAUCAAACGAUGCUGGCCAGCGGGGCUCUGGAGCAGCAGCUGCACGAACGAGCAGGAAGGUUGAAAAGCAUGAAAAGAAAGGGAAGAAAUUCCUCCGGGUGAGCAUGGAGAUGCCUUGGGGAAACUCCUGGUGAAACCUUUCCCUUCCUGCAUGAGACGUCCCAUCGGGUAGGGGUGCUCCUGGGGAGAAGACACUUGGCCAAAGACAACCUAGCAAAGCGGUGUUGGUUCAGAAACUAUACAAAAUAUUUAAAAUGUUUUAUUUAAAAAAAAAUAAAUCUAGAUUUAUAUUUUGAAAUAGCAAUGCUGCUAAUCAGGAAUUUCACUUGGAUAUAGUUGAUGGUAAGCUCUACUGCACCUCCUGCCACGUGUCCUCGCCCCGUGGUGACAUCCUCAGGAUGCUGUGGGGACUUUCCACAUCACCAGAGCUGGCCAGGGGAAAGAAAGAGCUGCCAGGUCUUAUGCCCACUUGGGAGGCUCCUGGUGCUUUUCCAUGGCCUUCAAGAAGGAGGACAUCACCUCCCACAGCCCCAGCCUUGUUCCCAACACAUGUCCACCAGCCUGAGCUCAGGCGACUGUUUCUCUGCAGGUGUUUUGCCGGAGGGAAGGACAGACGGAAGGCUCCCUUGUGCUGUUCGUCCCUUCCUUGCUCCUUAGUUUAAUUUUAGCUGUUUCUUUCACCGGGGGCUGAGAUGCGCUGCUGGUUUGUUUUCCCCUGCAAAAGCACCCAGACAAAUAUAGACAAGGAUCCAUUUACAUUACAGGCAGGACAAAACAUAGGAGGCUGCUCCUAUUUAAUAAUAGCCACCGUACGGAUAUUGCUCUCAGGGCUUUGUCAUGCAACAGCUUGUUUUAUUAAAUCCUUCACGCCCUGUGCCAGCUUUAUUCAGCUGAGUGGUGCCAGCUUGACAGUCGUCUUGGAGACAAACAUCCUCUCGGGGUCCAUGUUUGUGGGGUCAAGCGCUGCUUUUACGGCAGCCACCAUCCCCUGGACCACCGUGGCUAAAACCUAACCUGCUUUUGGUCACAGGUUUUGGGCUGGAGCCCCUUGGUUGGCCACCAAGCGUUUUCCAAGCCCAUAUCCUCCACUGGGACUUUGUGCAGAAAACCAGGUCCAACCUCUGCUGAACCCUUCCCAAAACAUAAAUCCACCUGCCAACCUUCAUGGAGGUUCGUGUUUUUCCACCUGGUUGCCUAUUCAAGGUGAAGUGCCAAUCCCUGGUCCCUCCCCAGCUGGGCUGAAGGUGUUCUGGCCAAUUUUAAUCAAAUUUGGGAGAGUUGUUGGUCUGUCUGUCUGUCUUGGAGGGACAUUCACUGGUUAAAACCACCCUGGAGCUCUGCAGGACCCUCAGUGUGAGCCCUCUCCACAUGCCAGCACGUCAGAGGGUACCAAAAAUGAUGCUUUUGAGCCUUUUGGUCUAAAAGGCUUGGAUGUGGAGCUGUGGGGGGCAUGUUGGGUUGGGUGCUGAGCACCCCCGAGUCUCUGCUUUCUUCUGGAUGUCCAAGUGGGGCUGGGUGGGCUGCAGAGGGUUCCUAAAGCUUUCCCAAACCAGGGAUGCACUGCGCUCUGCUCUCCCUGAGGAUCAGGAGAGGAGAAUCAGGGAGCGCGUGCACAAGCAGAUGUUGGUUCUGCUAGGUGGAAAAAAGAAAAAAAAGGAAAAAGAGAAAAAAAAAAUCAGUUUUGUUCUGAGCUGAGGUAGGAGAACACAAUCACCACCGCGUCUUCAUCUCGGCGCUUUCUGAGCGAAAACAGCUUUUCAUUUGAGAGACUUCAAGGUGUUUUGGAGAAGUCAAAGCACUGCCAGUUCCAGCGUCCUGCUUGGAGCCCUGUCCUUCAUCUCAAACAGGCCUUGAUCAGAAAACAGAUCUGGUUGUGUGCACGUGAGUGCUGCUGGGGGAUGAAACCCACCUGCACGGAAGUAGCUUAGGGCUUGCUCAAGGGGCAGGGCAGCCAAAAUCUUGCUGCCACCCAUAAGAGGCUGAAUUUUGAGAUAUUUCCUUGCUAUUUACCUGUUCUCUUUGGUCCCCUUCAUUUAUCCAAUUCAUCAUCAUUCAAGAAGUGAGCCCCGUGCCUCAGUUUCCCCAAGGUGCCUGUUAUGAUGUCUGCAGGAUGCUGGGGCCAUAUAAAUAUCUCCAAUAAGUAGUGCUGAGAAAAAAAAAACAUUUAAUUUCCCAUCCCAUGAUCAGAUUUGACUGCAAUGUAUUUCUCAUCUUUAUUUCCCCCCCAGAUUGCUCCCAGCACCAGCUGGGCUGGGAGCCGCUCCUGCCCCACACCUCUGAUAUCAAACAGGAUUUUUCCCACUGGGGGGAAAUCCCCAAACACACCAAAACGCUCGCUUACACAGGAGGGCAAAAAGAGUUGCAAGAAACAAACAGAGCCCAGGUGAUUUAUUCCAUGGAUUUCACGCCGCACAAAGCACCUGGAAAAUAGCUGUGUGGGCUUUCCAUAUGGGUUGCUAUUAUUUUCCAGGGUACAGAAAACAGAUUGUUGGAAGAACUCCCUGUUCUGUGGCUUGUGCUAUUUUUUUUUUUUAAUUUUUUUUUUUUUUUUAAAGCAGAGCAGCAGUCAGUGCUGUUUCCUCUCUGCUGAACGUUGUUUAGCGAUUGCUCCUGGUGCAACUCGAAGCAGGAAAAAAGCUGGGAGCUUUUAAUUAAAAGCCGCAAUCUGCUCUUUCCUCUUGGUGCAAAGUCUCACCUACAACAUGGGAACUGCAAAAUGAUAAUACCAAAAGCACUCUUCCUCCGUGGGGAAGGACUGAGUUUAAACCGUGGGGUUGCCACAAACAGAGGUAUUGGGGAUCUCAGAGAUGGUUUGAGGAAACCUUUGGGCACUUUGCUGAUUUUUUCAAAUUUUUUUUGGUGUUAUCUCCUAAGUUUUAACCCUGGUGUUUGGUCCAAUAAAUAUAUAAAUAAAUAAAACCCACCCCGGUUUUGUUACAUA